UGGGGAAUAUUGGGCAAUGGGCGCAAGCCUGACCCAGCAACGCCGCGUGAAGGAAGAAGGCUUUCGGGUUGUAAACUUCUUUUGUCAGGGACGAGUAGAAGACGGUACCUGACGAAUAAGCCACGGCUAACUACGUGCCAGCAGCCGCGGUAAUACGUAGGUGGCAAGCGUUGUCCGGAUUUACUGGGUGUAAAGGGCGUGUAGCCGGGAGGGCAAGUCAGAUGUGAAAUCCACGGGCUCAACUCGUGAACUGCAUUUGAAACUACUCUUCUUGAGUAUCGGAGAGGCAAUCGGAAUUCCUAGUGUAGCGGUGAAAUGCGUAGAUAUUAGGAGGAACACCAGUGGCGAAGGCGGAUUGCUGGACGACAACUGACGGUGAGGCGCGAAAGCGUGGGGAGCAAACAGG
RNAcentral lists this ribosomal RNA (406 nucleotides) under Oscillospiraceae bacterium. RNAcentral describes it as "bacterial SSU rRNA". It matches the Rfam family "Bacterial small subunit ribosomal RNA", at positions 355 to 776 of the family's 1533-position model. Lineage: Bacteria; Bacillati; Bacillota; Clostridia; Eubacteriales; Oscillospiraceae. The record is from RNAcentral. RNAcentral also lists the same sequence under 1 other name.